UCCUUCUUAGCUCAGUUGGUAGAGCGCGUCACUAGUAUUGUGUUACAAGCAUGACGAGGUCAGUCGUUCAAGUCGGCUAGAAGGAA
Lentinula detonsa is the source of this 86-nucleotide non-coding RNA. The record is from the annotation of a GenBank genome assembly. Lineage: Eukaryota; Fungi; Basidiomycota; Agaricomycetes; Agaricales; Omphalotaceae.